GGGGAACGAUAACGGCGUCGAGCGGCGGACGGGUGAGUAAUGCCUAGGAAAUUGCCCUGAUGUGGGGGAUAACCAUUGGAAACGAUGGCUAAUACCGCAUGAUGCCUACGGGCCAAAGAGGGGGACCUUCGGGCCUCUCGCGUCAGGAUAUGCCUAGGUGGGAUUAGCUAGUUGGUGAGGUAAGGGCUCACCAAGGCGACGAUCCCUAGCUGGUCUGAGAGGAUGAUCAGCCACACUGGAACUGAGACACGGUCCAGACUCCUACGGGAGGCAGCAGUGGGGAAUAUUGCACAAUGGGCGCAAGCCUGAUGCAGCCAUGCCGCGUGUGUGAAGAAGGCCUUCGGGUUGUAAAGCACUUUCAGUCGUGAGGAAGGUGGUGUAGUUAAUAGCUGCAUUAUUUGACGUUAGCGACAGAAGAAGCACCGGCUAACUCCGUGCCAGCAGCCGCGGUAAUACGGAGGGUGCGAGCGUUAAUCGGAAUUACUGGGCGUAAAGCGCAUGCAGGUGGUUUGUUAAGUCAGAUGUGAAAGCCCGGGGCUCAACCUCGGAAU
Molecule: ribosomal RNA, 551 nt
Filed under: Vibrio alginolyticus
Lineage: Bacteria; Pseudomonadati; Pseudomonadota; Gammaproteobacteria; Vibrionales; Vibrionaceae
Description: bacterial SSU rRNA
Rfam family: Bacterial small subunit ribosomal RNA
Source: RNAcentral